Molecule: non-coding RNA, 182 nt
Organism: Cardiobacterium hominis ATCC 15826
Lineage: Bacteria; Pseudomonadati; Pseudomonadota; Gammaproteobacteria; Cardiobacteriales; Cardiobacteriaceae
Rfam family: 6S / SsrS RNA
About the family: E. coli 6S RNA was the first non coding RNA to be sequenced, but its function was unknown until recently. It consists of 184 nucleotides that fold into an extended hairpin structure with a large single-stranded internal bulge. The 6S RNA specifically associates with RNA polymerase holoenzyme containing the sigma70 specificity factor.
Source: Rfam
GCAUAACUGCGGGGCAGGCGUUUCCUACAGACCCCUUGACCCUAAUUACAUCUUGCCUUGGGUGUCAGACGCAUCUGGGUGAGCAUGCUCACUUCCGGUGAGAAGCCCAAAAGGUUGUUGAGGCACCCACUUGAACCCUGCGGUUCAAGGGCAUUAGGUUAAGCGGCUUUCGCGGUUAUGCU